Oncorhynchus tshawytscha (Chinook salmon) is the source of this 1088-nucleotide long non-coding RNA. Lineage: Eukaryota; Metazoa; Chordata; Actinopteri; Salmoniformes; Salmonidae. The record is from Ensembl.
GUGUGCAAAAGGCAUGAGGAGGUAGGCGAAUAAUUACAAUUUUGCAGAUUAACACUGGAGUGAUAAAUGAUCAGAUGGUCAUGUACAGGUAGAGAUACUGGUGUGCAAAAGAGCAGAAAAGUAAAUAAAUAAAAACAGUAUGGGGAUGAGGUAGGUAAAAAUGGGUGGGCUAUUUACCGAUAGACUAUGUACAGCUGCAGCUAUCGGUUAGCUGCUCAGAUAGCAGAUGUUUGAAGUUGGUGAGGGAGAUAAAAGUCUCCAACUUCAGCGAUUUUUGCAAUUCGUUCCAGUCACAGGCAGCAGAGAACUGGAACGAAAGGCGGCCAAAUGAGGUGUUGGCUUUAGGGAUGAUCAGUGAGAUACACCUGCUGGAGCGUAGCAGGUGAGUAGGUGUGUCCAAACUUUUGACUGAUACUGUACAUACAUACAUACAUGCCAGGUCACAGUUGUAAAUGAGAACUUGUUCUCAACUUGCCUACCUGGUUAAAUAAAGGUAAAAUAAAUACAUAUAUACAUACAUACACACUGUACAAAUACACAUACAUACAUAUACAGAUAAAUAAAUACAGAUAAAAGAAACAGAAGGCAUUGAACCCAGUCUGGCACAAAGAGAAGAUUCAUGAAGGAGACAAGCCUAUACACAAUCUAUAUAUACACGUGCCAUUUACCACAUAGAAGCUAAAUAUUUGUAUAAUUCAAUUAUAGCUAGCCCUUUUUCUUUUAUUCCAGGCUUUAAUUAUCUAAAUAUUCUGCAAACGGAUAUGCACAGUGGACAAAAAACAUUUCAGUUUCUCCUCAUCGCUCAGCCACAUAAUGCUAGGGUAUAUCUAGUGUGCUGUCUGGAAUAAGAGCGAGCGUAUAUCGUGGUAGAAUGGGCAAUAGAGGAUAAAAUUAGUUUCAUUCUCUAUUUCUUCAAGGUCACAAUAGUGGAAUAGUCUUUCCUCUUCCAUUUCACCACAAUACUGACCUGUUUCAAUACGCAGAGGCAAAAUCCCUGAUCUUACCUGUUUCAAUAUGCAGAGGCAAAAUCCCUGAUCUUACCUGUUUCAAUAUGCAGAGGCAAAAUCCCUGAUCUUACCUGUUUCAAU